UACGGGGGGGGUAAGCGUUGUUCGGAAUUACUGGGCGUAAAGAGCUCGUAGGCGGUUUGUCGCGUCGAAUGUGAAAACCCGGGGCUCAACCCCGGGCCUGCAUUCGAUACGGGCAGACUAGAGUUCGGUAGGGGAGUCUGGAAUUCCUGGUGUAGCGGUGAAAUGCGCAGAUAUCAGGAGGAACACCGGUGGCGAAGGCGGGACUCUGGGCCGAUACUGACGCUGAGGAGCGAAAGCGUGGGGAGCAAACAGG
This 253-nucleotide ribosomal RNA is filed under the name uncultured bacterium. RNAcentral describes it as "partial 16S ribosomal RNA". It matches the Rfam family "Bacterial small subunit ribosomal RNA", at positions 524 to 776 of the family's 1533-position model. The record is from RNAcentral.